GAUGGAGGCAGGGAGGCCCCCCUGUGCUUGAGGGUGGCCUCGCCAUCAAGGCUGGGGCCUCCGUGCCUCCUGCCUUGCUUGUCCCCCUCAGCCACAGCUUGGCCGCUUCUAGGAGAUGGUGCCGUCUCUCCCACCAGCAGGCUCUCCCCCGGGAGCCUGCUCAGACCUGCCUUCCUCACAAAGCUCGGUAGCAACUCCCUGGGGCAGAAAAUGUCUCUUCUGAAAGCAAGACAAGAGUUUAAUUAAGCCCUAAACGCACACAGUUGAGCCUGAAAUUAGGGUGGUGAUGGGAGGGGGAGAAGGCAAUCGAGGACGGUGGGUAGCGGGGUGGGCUUCAACGCACUUCUGGCCCAGCUGAGCCAAACAAGCCUACAAGCAAACAUUUACAGAGCCUGUGGGCGUGGCUACAAAGCCUCUCUGACCUGGAGAGGGGAGAAUGCCACGUUUCCUGUCCUGUUUGGGCUCUCCCCAGGUUGUUGCUCAGACAGUCAAACCACAGCCUCCUCCUCUACCUGGCAAUUAAUCCUGCUGUGCCCUGCAACCUGGGUUGGGUCUUACUCUGCCAGGGACUGAAGCAAGAAGAGACGGGCCGCCGGGCGUGUUAUCGCUUGUCUCUGGGGCAGAGAAGCGGUUGCAACAGAGCCCCUGCGUGCGUGUGGACGUGCCUGCGUGGAGCAAACUUCUGUGUUGCUUUGGAAGAAGAACCGGUCUCUGUGAUGCCUGGGCAUCCUUUCAGCUUUCACAGUCUGUCAAGGUCAAACCAAAGAGUUGAGUUCAAGUUCCCAUCCCUAGAGUUGUUGACAGGCAUUUUGCUAGAGGUGACACACCAUCCAUUACAAGCUGAGAGUCAAGGAUCUGGAAAAUGAGAAGCCCCUCCCCUAAGCCACAGACAGCCUGGGGAGUCCCUGUGGCCUGACAGUUUCAUCUGCAGAUACAAGUUCACCAUGCUCUCAGACACAGCUCCGGGUUACUUGCUGCUAAGUCACUUCAGUCGUGUCCGACUCUGUGGGACCCCAGGCUCCGCCGUCCCUGGGAUUCUCCAGAUGAGCACACCAAGACAGAGGUUCAGUAUCUUGCCGAAAGUUGAGAGGAGAAGCUACGAAUAAGACCAGCUCUGGCUCCCAAUCCACCCCACAGCUUUUGAUGGUACUCAGUGGUACACCCUUGGACCCCGAUGGUGUGGGCAGUUCUCCCACAGGUCUGGCCCGAGUCUCUCCUACUCUCGUCUGAAUUGGAUCAGAUGGAAGGACCAUGUCAGUAGGUCGGUUCUGCUCCCAACCCAGCCUCAAGAGACAUCACCCAUCCCUUGGUACAGGUGGUAGCCUUCCAGUUACUGGGGUGGGGAUGUUUGCCUUCUGUUAAUGAAAAGAAAUAGAUGUGAUAAUAAAUAAAUGCCCAACCCAGUGCAGCAAUCGAUGUCCCUAACAAUGAGGCUCUGUGUUUGCUCUCAGCUGUGGGUUAUGUUCAUUGGCCACAGUCACUGCUCAGGAGCCCCUGGGCACAUCAUCCUGGGUGGGUCCACAGG
Molecule: long non-coding RNA, 1525 nt
Organism: Bos taurus (domestic cattle)
Lineage: Eukaryota; Metazoa; Chordata; Mammalia; Artiodactyla; Bovidae
Source: Ensembl